CAGGCUGCAACUCGCCUGUAUGAAGUCGGAAUUGCUAGUAAAUCGUGGAUCAGCAUGCCACGGUGAAUACGUUCCCGGGCCUUGUACACACCGCCCGUCACACCAUGAGAGCCGGGAACACCCGAAGUCCGUAGUCUAACCUAUAUGGAGGACGCGGCCGAAGGUGGGUUUGGUAAUUGGGUGAAGUCGUAACAAGGUAUC
This 201-nucleotide ribosomal RNA is filed under the name uncultured bacterium. Its description in RNAcentral is "partial 16S ribosomal RNA". It matches the Rfam family "Bacterial small subunit ribosomal RNA", at positions 1301 to 1500 of the family's 1533-position model. The record is from RNAcentral.